This 223-nucleotide ribosomal RNA is filed under the name uncultured fungus. RNAcentral's name for it is "partial 28S ribosomal RNA". It matches the Rfam family "Eukaryotic large subunit ribosomal RNA", at positions 1 to 221 of the family's 3401-position model. Lineage: Eukaryota; Fungi. The record is from RNAcentral.
UGACCUCAAAUCAGGUAGGACUACCCGCUGAACUUAAGCAUAUCAAUAAGCGGAGGAAAAGAAACUAACAAGGAUUCCCCUAGUAACUGCGAGUGAAGCGGGAAAAGCUCAAAUUUAAAAUCUGGCAGUCUUUGGCUGUCCGAGUUGUAAUCUAGAGAAGUAUUAUCCGCGCUGGACCGUGUACAAGUCUCCUGGAAUGGAGCGUCAUAGAGGGUGAGAAUCC